RNAcentral lists this ribosomal RNA (305 nucleotides) under uncultured bacterium. RNAcentral's name for it is "bacterial SSU rRNA". It matches the Rfam family "Bacterial small subunit ribosomal RNA", at positions 335 to 658 of the family's 1533-position model. The record is from RNAcentral.
CGUCCUACGGGGGCAGCAGUGGGGAAUAUUGCACAAUGGGGGAAACCCUGAUGCAGCGACGCCGCGUGAAGGACGAAGUAUUUCGGUACGUAAACUUCUAUCAGCAGGGAAGAAAAUGACGGUACCUGACCAAGAAGCCCCGGCUAACUACGUGCCAGCAGCCGCGGUAAUACGUAGGGGGCAAGCGUUAUCCGGAUUUACUGGGUGUAAAGGGAGCGUAGACGGAGGAGCAAGUCUGAUGUGAAAAUCCGGGGCCCAACCCCGGAACUGCAUUGGAAACUGUUUAUCUAGAGUGUCGGAGAGGC